UCCCUGGUGGCUCAGACGGUAAAGCGCCUGCCUGCAAUGCAGGAGACCCAGGUUUGAUCCCUGGGUUGGGAA
This 72-nucleotide transfer RNA is filed under the name Ovis aries (sheep). It matches the Rfam family "tRNA". From Rfam's summary of the family: Transfer RNA (tRNA) molecules are approximately 80 nucleotides in length. Their secondary structure includes four short double-helical elements and three loops (D, anti-codon, and T loops). Lineage: Eukaryota; Metazoa; Chordata; Mammalia; Artiodactyla; Bovidae. The record is from Rfam by way of RNAcentral.